AUUUUGCUGGAGAUCCUUGUUUACCUGAGGUAUUGUGAAGGAAGGAAUUCUGGGGUGAUUAUUGCUGCUUCUACUUUCUGAAGUGAGAUAGAUUGUAAAGCAGGUACAUCAAAGGCAGACGUCUCUAGAGUGCCAAAGAAGAAUGUAAAGCUGAGCAGUUUCUGCCACAUGUGGAUUUGUACCACCAUGGGCCAGAAUGGAAGGAAAACUGCAGCCAUUAUGAGUGGAAGGCUGAGCUGGGAUGGGUCAGCUGCUGCCUAGAUCAUGAAGGGAAACUUUCCUGCCUCAAAGUGGGAUUGUGACAAGCUAUUUCAGGAAACUAUAGAGGCCAGCAGUCCACUAUAGCAACACAUUUUCAAACAGGCAAAAGCUCUUUAGAUGAGCUAUCAUUGAACUGAGACAAACACAUAGCAGUACUGUAUUGCAAGAUGUACCUCUCAUAAUUUGCCUGUCUUUAAUGCCAUCCCUUUAAAUCAUGUAAAGUUCCCCUAUGUUAUAUUAUUUUCAAGUCCUCUAGAGCACAGUUCUCAGGAUGGGGGGGGAUUCUGCUGUUUUCAGUAAGUGCUUAGUUUCUAGAUCAACUUUAAGCUAUAUGGCUACAUUAGUGCUCCCCUGGCACAUUAUUUUGCAUCGUAUAUUGUGCACUGUUAUGCAGUUUUUUGGAUAUCACUUGAAGUCAGUCAGGUGGUGAAGUCACAGUACAGUUGCUGUAAUCCUUUAUUUCUUUUAGUACAUGUAACAUUUUCCUUGUCCUGUAAUACUGUAGUAAAACAAAUAUAUCAACUCUAAUAGUAUUUUAUAAGUCAGUCAGAAGGCAUAGAUCUGAACAAAGUUUUGGGAUCAAAUCUGUAACCCAUUUUGUAAGGCUUUACACUCUAUCAUACCUUGAGUCAGCUUCUGGGGUAUUAGAGAAAGAAGAGAAAAUUCCUUUCAUAAAUACUAAUGUGUUCUCAAUGGAAGAAGUCAGCAUUUACAUAAUUGACUUUUAAAAAUAAAGUUUUGAAGAAUACU
This 1011-nucleotide long non-coding RNA is filed under the name Gallus gallus (chicken). Its description in RNAcentral is "lncRNA (ENSGALG00010026619.1)". The record is from RNAcentral. Lineage: Eukaryota; Metazoa; Chordata; Aves; Galliformes; Phasianidae.